AUUGAACGCUGGCGGCAGGCCUAACACAUGCAAGUCGAACGGUAACAGGAAGCAGCUUGCUGCUUUGCUGACGAGUGGCGGACGGGUGAGUAAUGUCUGGGAAACUGCCUGAUGGAGGGGGAUAACUACUGGAAACGGUAGCUAAUACCGCAUAACGUCGCAAGACCAAAGAGGGGGACCUUCGGGCCUCUUGCCAUCGGAUGUGCCCAGAUGGGAUUAGCUAGUAGGUGGGGUAACGGCUCACCUAGGCGACGAUCCCUAGCUGGUCUGAGAGGAUGACCAGCCAAACUGGAACUGAGACACGGUCCAGACUCCUACGGGAGGCAGCAGUGGGGAAUAUUGCACAAUGGGCGCAAGCCUGAUGCAGCCAUGCCGCGUGUAUGAAGAAGGCCUUCGGGUUGUAAAGUACUUUCAGCGGGGAGGAAGGGAGUAAAGUUAAUACCUUGGCUCAUUGACGUUACCCGAAGAAGAAGCACCGGCUAACUCCGUG
This 490-nucleotide ribosomal RNA is filed under the name uncultured bacterium. Its description in RNAcentral is "partial 16S ribosomal RNA". It matches the Rfam family "Bacterial small subunit ribosomal RNA", at positions 30 to 507 of the family's 1533-position model. The record is from RNAcentral.